ACACGACUACAUUAGAUACCCCGGUAGUCCCAGCCCUAAACGAUGCGCGUUAGGUGUAUCGGUGACCACGAGUCACCGAGGUGCCGAAGGGAAACCGUGAAACGUGCCGCCUGGGAAGUACGGUCGCAAGGCUGAAACUUAAAGGAAUUGGCGGGGGAGUACCACAACGGGUGGAGCCUGCGGUUUAAUUGGACUCAACGCCGGGAAGCUCACCGGAUAAGACAGCGGAAUGAUUGCCGGGCUGAAGACCCUGCAUGACCAGCUG
This 265-nucleotide ribosomal RNA is filed under the name uncultured archaeon. RNAcentral's name for it is "partial 16S ribosomal RNA". It matches the Rfam family "Archaeal small subunit ribosomal RNA", at positions 717 to 982 of the family's 1478-position model. The record is from RNAcentral.